UCGAGAAUCUUCGGCAAUGGGCGCAAGCCUGACCGAGCGACGCCGCGUGCGGGAUGAAGGCCUUCGGGUUGUAAACCGCUGUCGUAGGGGAUGAAACGCUAGUGAGUUAUCUCAUUAGUUUGACUGAACCUAGGAGGAAGGGCCGGCUAAUCUCGUGCCAGCAGCCGCGGUAAUACGAGAGGCCCAAACGUUAUUCGGAUUUACUGGGCUUAAAGAGUUCGUAGGCGGCACGGACAGUGGGGUGUGAAAUCCCUCGGCUUAACCGAGGAACUGCGCUCCAAACUAUCGUGCUAGAGGGGGAUAGAGGUAAGCGGAACUGAUGGUGGAGCGGUGAAAUGCGUUGAUAUCAUCAGGAACACCGGAGGCGAAGGCGGCUUACUGGGUCCUUUCUGACGCUGAGGAACGAAAGCUAGGGGAGCAAACGGG
RNAcentral lists this ribosomal RNA (426 nucleotides) under uncultured bacterium. RNAcentral describes it as "bacterial SSU rRNA". It matches the Rfam family "Bacterial small subunit ribosomal RNA", at positions 355 to 776 of the family's 1533-position model. The record is from RNAcentral.